GAUGAACGCUGGCGGCGUGCCUAAUACAUGCAAGUCGAGCGAACGGACGAGAAGCUUGCUUCUCUGAUGUUAGCGGCGGACGGGUGAGUAACACGUGGAUAACCUACCUAUAAGACUGGGAUAACUUCGGGAAACCGGAGCUAAUACCGGAUGAUAUUUUGAACCGCAUGGUUCAAAAGUGAAAGACGGUCUUGCUGUCACUUAUAGAUGGAUCCGCGCUGCAUUAGCUAGUUGGUAAGGUAACGGCUUACCAAGGCAACGAUGCAUAGCCGACCUGAGAGGGUGAUCGGCCACACUGGAACUGAGACACGGUCCAGACUCCUACGGGAGGCAGCAGUAGGGAAUCUUCCGCAAUGGGCGAAAGCCUGACGGAGCAACGCCGCGUGAGUGAUGAAGGUCUUCGGAUCGUAAAACUCUGUUAUUAGGGAAGAACAUAUGUGUAAGUAACUGUGCACAUCUUGACGGUACCUAAUCAGAAAACCACGGCUAACUACGUGCCAGCAGCCGCGGUAAUACGUAGGUGGCAAGCGUUAUCCGGAAUUAUUGGGCGUAAAGCGCGCGUAGGCGGUUUUUUAAGUCUGAUGUGAAAGCCCACGGCUCAACCGUGGAGGGUCAUUGGAAACUGGAAAACUUGAGUGCAGAAGAGGAAAGUGGAAUUCCAUGUGUAGCGGUGAAAUGCGCAGAGAUAUGGAGGAACACCAGUGGCGAAGGCGACUUUCUGGUCUGUAACUGACGCUGAUGUGCGAAAGCGUGGGGAUCAAACAGGAUUAGAUACCCUGGUAGUCCACGCCGUAAACGAUGAGUGCUAAGUGUUAGGGGGUUUCCGCCCCUUAGUGCUGCAGCUAACGCAUUAAGCACUCCGCCUGGGGAGUACGACCGCAAGGUUGAAACUCAAAGGAAUUGACGGGGACCCGCACAAGCGGUGGAGCAUGUGGUUUAAUUCGAAGCAACGCGAAGAACCUUACCAAAUCUUGACAUCCUUUGACAACUCUAGAGAUAGAGCCUUCCCCUUCGGGGGACAAAGUGACAGGUGGUGCAUGGUUGUCGUCAGCUCGUGUCGUGAGAUGUUGGGUUAAGUCCCGCAACGAGCGCAACCCUUAAGCUUAGUUGCCAUCAUUAAGUUGGGCACUCUAAGUUGACUGCCGGUGACAAACCGGAGGAAGGUGGGGAUGACGUCAAAUCAUCAUGCCCCUUAUGAUUUGGGCUACACACGUGCUACAAUGGACAAUACAAAGGGCAGCGAAACCGCGAGGUCAAGCAAAUCCCAUAAAGUUGUUCUCAGUUCGGAUUGUAGUCUGCAACUCGACUACAUGAAGCUGGAAUCGCUAGUAAUCGUAGAUCAGCAUGCUACGGUGAAUACGUUCCCGGGUCU
Molecule: ribosomal RNA, 1372 nt
Filed under: uncultured bacterium
Lineage: Bacteria
Description: bacterial SSU rRNA
Rfam family: Bacterial small subunit ribosomal RNA
Source: RNAcentral